GAUGAGCUUUAGAUCCUGGCUCAGCGAUGAACGCUAGCCGGCAGGCAUUAAUACUAUGCAAGUCGAGCAGCACGGGUAGCAAUACCUGGUGGCGACCGGCGCACGGGUGCGCUGAACGCGUUAUGUAAUCUACCAUUAACGCGUAGCUCCAGAGAAAUCUGGAUUAAUGCCCCAUAGUAUUAUCGAAAGGCAUCUUCAUUGAUAAUUAAAGCUCAGGCGGUUCAUGAUGAACAUGCGUGUCAUUAGUUUGUUGGUGAGGUAACGGCAGCUCACCAAGACUACGAUGACUAGGGGGUCUGAGAGGAUGAUCCCCCACACUGGUACUGAGACACGGACCAGACUCCUACGGGAGGCAGCAGUAAGGAAUAUUGGGCAAUGGAGGCAACUCUGACCCAGCCAUGCCGCGUGAAGGAUGACGGCCCUAUGGGUUGUAAACUGCUAGUAUACACCAAGAAAAACAUCCACGUGUGGGUGCUGGAGUAGUGUAUGAAUAAGCAUCGGCCGACUCCUGUGCCAGCAGCCGCGGUAAUACGGAGCGAUGCAAGCGUUAAUCCGGAUUCAUUGGGUCUAACUGGUGCGUAGGCGGCUAGUAAGUCAGUGGUGACCGUAGCCGCUUAACGGUAGAAUUGCCAUUGAUACUGAAAAGCUUGAGUACAUUUGAGGUAAGCGGAAUGUGUAGUGUAGCGGUGAAAUGCUUAGAUAUUACACAGAACACCAAUUGCGGCGCAGCUUACUAAACUGAUACUGACGCUGAUGCACGACUGCGUGGGCCUGAGCGAACAGGAUUAGAUACCCUGGUAGUCCACGCCGUAAACGAUGCUCACUCGCUGUUUGCGAUACACAGCAACUAGCCAAGCGAAAGCAUUAAGUGAGCCACCUGGGGAGUACGAUCGCAAGGUUGAAACUCAAAGGAAUUGACGGGGGCCCGCACAAGCGGAGGAACAUGUGGUUUAAUUCGAUGAUACGCGAGGAACCUCACCUGGGCUUAAAUGUAGAGCGACAGAUUGAGAAAGCAGUCCUUCUGCGGACGAUCUACAAGGUCGCUGCAUGGUUGUCGAUCAGCUCGUGCCGUGAGCGUGUCGGGUCCCAUAACGAGCGCAACCCUGACAUACUAGCCAGCGGAUCAUGCCGGCGGGACUCUAGCGAGACUGCCACCGUAAGGUGUGAGGACAGGUGGAUGGAUGACGUUCAAAUGCAGCACGGCCCUUAUGUCCAGGGCUACACACGUGUUACAAUGGCCGAUACAAAGGGCAGCUACCAGGUGACUGGAUGCUAAUCUCCAAAGCAGUUCGGAUCGAAGUCUGCAACCCGACUUCGUCUGCUGGAUUCGCUAGUAAUCGCAUAUCAGCCAUGAUGCGGUGAAUACGUUCCCGGGCCUUGUACACACCGCCCGUCAGUCAAUGGAAGCUGGGGGUACCUGAAGUCUGUAACCGCAAGCCUAGCCUAGAAACUAGUAACUGGUGUUAAGUCGUAACAAGGUUAACAC
RNAcentral lists this ribosomal RNA (1486 nucleotides) under uncultured Sunxiuqinia sp. RNAcentral's name for it is "bacterial SSU rRNA". It matches the Rfam family "Bacterial small subunit ribosomal RNA". Lineage: Bacteria; Pseudomonadati; Bacteroidota; Bacteroidia; Marinilabiliales; Prolixibacteraceae. The record is from RNAcentral.